CUUCGUGAUGAUAAAGGGCCAAUGGCCCGAUCCAAUAACCCAGCUCGUCGAAUGCCUCGUCAACAACGCAGAGUGCAUACUGAGAUAAAAAACCCAUUCUGACAA
This 105-nucleotide small nucleolar RNA is filed under the name Thermothelomyces thermophilus ATCC 42464. RNAcentral describes it as "Myceliophthora thermophila ATCC 42464 A. fumigatus snoRNA Afu_304". It matches the Rfam family "A. fumigatus snoRNA Afu_304". Lineage: Eukaryota; Fungi; Ascomycota; Sordariomycetes; Sordariales; Chaetomiaceae. The record is from Rfam by way of RNAcentral.